Molecule: ribosomal RNA, 402 nt
Filed under: uncultured bacterium
Lineage: Bacteria
Description: bacterial SSU rRNA
Rfam family: Bacterial small subunit ribosomal RNA
Source: RNAcentral
GUCUCGGCUAACUACGUGCCAGCAGCCGCGGUAAAACGUAGGAGGCGAGCGUUAUCCGGAUUCACUGGGCGUAAAGCGCGUGCAGGCGGUUCGGUAAGUUGGGCGUGAAAUCUCCUGGCUUAACUAGGAGAGGCCGUUCAAUACUACCGGACUAGAGAACAGUAGAGGAAGAUGGAAUUCCCGGUGUAGUGGUGAAAUGCGUAGAUAUCGGGAGGAACACCAGUGGCGAAGGCGAUCUUCUGGACUGUUUCUGACGCUCAGACGCGAAAGCUAGGGUAGUAAACGGGAUUAGAGACCCCGGUAAUCCUAGCCGUAAACGAUGUGAACUUGGCGUCGGUGGCUUAAACACUAUCGGUGCCGAAGCAAACGCGAUAAGUUCACCGCCUGGGGACUACGAUUGCA